This 783-nucleotide ribosomal RNA is filed under the name Bacillus sp. NH13F. Its description in RNAcentral is "bacterial SSU rRNA". It matches the Rfam family "Bacterial small subunit ribosomal RNA", at positions 396 to 1171 of the family's 1533-position model. The record is from RNAcentral. Lineage: Bacteria; Bacillati; Bacillota; Bacilli; Caryophanales; Bacillaceae.
GCCGCGUGAGUGAUGAAGGCCUUCGGGUCGUAAAGCUCUGUUGUUAGGGAAGAACAAGUACCGUUCGAAUAGGGCGGUACCUUGACGGUACCUAACCAGAAAGCCACGGCUAACUACGUGCCAGCAGCCGCGGUAAUACGUAGGUGGCAAGCGUUGUCCGGAAUUAUUGGGCGUAAAGCGCGCGCAGGCGGUCUCUUAAGUCUGAUGUGAAAGCCCACGGCUCAACCGUGGAGGGCCAUUGGAAACUGGGGGACUUGAGUGCAGAAGAGGAGAGUGGAAUUCCACGUGUAGCGGUGAAAUGCGUAGAUAUGUGGAGGAACACCAGUGGCGAAGGCGGCUCUCUGGUCUGUAACUGACGCUGAGGCGCGAAAGCGUGGGGAGCAAACAGGAUUAGAUACCCUGGUAGUCCACGCCGUAAACGAUGAGUGCUAGGUGUUGGGGGGUUCCACCCUCAGUGCUGAAGUUAACACAUUAAGCACUCCGCCUGGGGAGUACGACCGCAAGGUUGAAACUCAAAGGAAUUGACGGGGGCCCGCACAAGCAGUGGAGCAUGUGGUUUAAUUCGAAGCAACGCGAAGAACCUUACCAGGUCUUGACAUCCUCUGCCACUCCUAGAGAUAGGACGUUCCCCUUCGGGGGACAGAGUGACAGGUGGUGCAUGGUUGUCGUCAGCUCGUGUCGUGAGAUGUUGGGUUAAGUCCCGCAACGAGCGCAACCCUUGAUCUUAGUUGCCAGCAUUAAGUUGGGCACUCUAAGGUGACUGCCGGUGACAAACCGGAGGAA